RNAcentral lists this transfer RNA (71 nucleotides) under Dyscophus antongilii (tomato frog). RNAcentral describes it as "tRNA-Val". It matches the Rfam family "tRNA". From Rfam's summary of the family: Transfer RNA (tRNA) molecules are approximately 80 nucleotides in length. Lineage: Eukaryota; Metazoa; Chordata; Amphibia; Anura; Microhylidae. The record is from RNAcentral.
CAAAAUGUAGCUUAACAUCAAAGCAUCCCGCUUACACCGAGAACCUAUCUGUGCAACUCAGAUCAUUUUGA